Molecule: long non-coding RNA, 879 nt
Organism: Nerophis ophidion (straightnose pipefish)
Lineage: Eukaryota; Metazoa; Chordata; Actinopteri; Syngnathiformes; Syngnathidae
Exons: 3
Source: RefSeq, a predicted model, not a curated record
AUCCUCUGCAUUUGACCCAUCCCCAUGUUCACCCACUGGUAGGUGAGGGGAACAGUGAGCAGCAGCGGUGGCCAUGCUCGGGAAUCGUUUUGGUGAUUUAACCCCCAAUUCCAACCCUUGAUGCUGAGUGCCAAGCAGGGAGGCAAUGGGUCCUGUUUUUAUAGUCUUUGGUAGGACUCAGCCAGGGUUUGAGCCCACGACCUUCCAGUCUCAGGGCGGACACUCUAACCACAAAGCCACUGAGCAGUCUGCGUCUCCCUCCGUUGCGGGUCCACCCAGAGGACCCGCUGACAGCGCACACGGCCCCGCUCACGCUGAUCGCAGCUCGCCCACGCAACUUCAAGCCUGCAGACGAUCAGUCAACCUGCACACCUGUGACUGAUGACGUUAAGCUGUAUAAAGGGACCAGUGGACCCAAGGAUUGUAGCAGGAACUUCGUUCUCAUAUGGUGAACCUACCCUCCGUCGCCUCCAAAGUGAGCUGUGCGUCUCACUUUUCCCCGGAUCUCCUCCUUUUUGCUGAUUGCCUCCUUCGUUCGUAGACUCCUCGCUCGCCCCUGGACAACGACGACUCGCUCCUGCCUUUCGAACCCCGCUUCCGCCCUUGGACUUCCCUGCCUGCCUCGCCCUUGUCUGACAGCACCGCGUCUCCAACACUUAUGGUAAAACGCUCCAAUUAAAUAAUUCACAUAGUCUUACACCAUACACACUCUUGGGUUUUUGACACACACCAUUCUAUAUUACUAUUGUCUAUUAUUAUUAGUAGUAUUAUAUAUAUAUAUAUAUAUAUAUACAUAUAUUUACUAUAUAUAUAUAUAUAUUAAAUCUCUGUACACUACUGCCACUGCCACCUGCUGUCCGUUUGCCGUCACUCCUCUUG